Molecule: unclassified non-coding RNA, 2232 nt
Filed under: Hevea brasiliensis (rubber tree)
Lineage: Eukaryota; Viridiplantae; Streptophyta; Magnoliopsida; Malpighiales; Euphorbiaceae
Source: RNAcentral
AUCUGGUUGUGAGCGUAAUUGGAGUAUCUUUGAGCAUGUAAGUAACAAAACAUGUCUCUUUACAAUUAUACUUUUAAUUUAUUCUUUCUUAAAAAUUACUGAUUAAAAUUGUUAUAUUUUACAGAUUCAUAGUAAAAAAAGAAAUAGGCUAGCUCAACAAAGAUUGAAUGAUUUGGUGUUUGUGAAGUAUAAUCGGGCAUUAAGGCGCCGAUAUGAUGCACGUCACCGCAUUGACCCCAUUUCAUUGAAAGACAUAGAUAAUAGUAAUGAAUGGUUGAUGAGUCAAAUGGAAGAAGAGUUAGAAAAUGAUGAACUUGUGUUUGAGGAUGACAAUUUGACUUGGAAUGCGGUUGCUGAAGCUAUUGGAGUUGAAGAGGAUGCCUACAAUACUAGAUCCGAGAAAGGAAAAAAUAUAGCAUCUGCAGUUGCUUCAAGAUCUAUGUCAAAGCAUAAAGGAAAGCCACCAUCUAGAGCUGAUACUCCUUUACUUAGAGAAGAGACAUCUUCUGAAGAAGAUGAAGAUAUUGAUUUUGAAGAAGAUGAGUAUGAAGAGGACGAAGCUGAAGGGGAAGAUAAGGAAGAUCUUAAUGCUGCUUUUGAUAUAGAUUGAAGUGUAGUGAACUAGUUAUUUUGUAAUUAGUAAUUAGUACUUUAGUUUUGAUUACUAAUGCUACUCUUCAUAUAGAUUGAAGAGUAGUUAACUAGUUAUUUUGUAACUAGUUAUUUUGUAACUAGUUAACUACUUUCUUUCUUGGAUUUUGAUUACUAGUAUGACUAGUGUCUAUCAUGUUAAUAUGUUAAGAUUGUGACACUUUAUAUUAGUUUCUUAAAAUAAAGUAGUUCAUUUUUAUUCUAUUUGGAUUGUAAAAUUAUUAUUACCUUAUGUUUAUUACUUAUUAUUAUGUUUAGUUUUAUGCUAGUUAAAAUUUGAUGGAAUAUUUACAUUUACUUUUUUUUUUCCGGCCUCUCACCUUGCUCAAGCGCACCUGCGUCUGCACCUUGCACCUAGGCUCUAGGACCCCUUGGUGCCUUAAUGCGUCUUGAGCAUUCAAUAACUAUGAAUACAAAUACACCAACAUUCUUUAGUUUUCAUGCCCCUGAUUCAUCUAGACAGAAUAAACAAAACAUUUCCCAUUCUUUUCUUUCUUCAAUGAAAGCCAGACCUUAAUGGUCUCCGUAUAAAAGAAUUAUUCAAAAAAAAUGAAAGAACAAGACCACUGAAGUAAAUCUGGUUGCCUACCAAUAGAAAUGACAUGCAAAACAGAUUUCCUCCGGAGAAGUCCAAAACAAACACAGAAAAACAUGAGGCACAUUUUCCCAGAGCACAUUAAUCCAAUAAAAUUUUUUGACAGGGGUAAUAUGCACAUAUCCCAAAAAAUGUGCAAAUGGCUGGAUACAAAAUAAACUCCUCACAACUUAGAGACCCACCUAAUUUUUAACAGAGCUAGAAAGAUUAUUCUACCAGUUAUAAAUGCCUCGCAACUUAUAAAAAAGAAGGACUCCAACAGGUUCCAUUACACAACACCUAAGCCCUCUUGAGGUAAACUGAGUUUAUACUCAACUUAUGGUUAGAAUGAAGGGAAAGGGAAUGCAAAAAAUGCUGACAUCAACCAUCAGGCAUCAAAUGAAUUGAUGCCACUAUCUGCCCACCAAUACCAGUUAAUACAAGCCGAUUUGUUCUCAAAGAAAGAUAACAGAGAUAGAGACAACAUAAAAUUUUUGGGAGUGAUGAAGUCAGAAGUAGAUGAAAAAUGGAAGGACAUAGGCUGCUUUUUUAUCCAUGGCAACCACAAUACCCCAUACAUCUUACAAAGUCACAGUACUUUACCUCAUGUACCAAUGUUUGACAGUGUAAAAAAAUAGCAUGCAAAUAAAAGGCAGUCUCACAAAAUCAGACCAAUGAGGAAAAAAGUCACUGAACACAAACCAGUGUUGUUAAAGGCGACGAUAGGCGCUGGAUAAGGUGAGCCGAUGACACCUCGCCUGGCUGAGGCAAGUCCAAUUGAAAGAGGCCAACAGCCAACACAGGUAAGGCGAGAGGCGCAGGGUGACCAAGGUGACUAUUGAGCUAAAUAACAUACACUUUCCCUUUCUUUAAUUUUUUUUUAAACAGCAUAAAAAAAAUUUAAAAAAAAAACCUAAGCUAAGUCUUCAACUCACGCCACCAGCAGCACUUUGAGUUCGCCACCAGUUGGAGAAGACAGCCAAACCAGGUAUUUCUUCCUUCCUCUC